This 301-nucleotide ribosomal RNA is filed under the name uncultured bacterium. RNAcentral's name for it is "partial 16S ribosomal RNA". It matches the Rfam family "Bacterial small subunit ribosomal RNA", at positions 509 to 807 of the family's 1533-position model. The record is from RNAcentral.
CAGUCGCCACGGGAAUACGAGGGGAGCUAGCGUUGUUCGGAAUUACUGGGCGUAAAGCGCGCGUAGGCGGCUUUUUAAGUCAGAGGUGAAAGCCCGGGGCUCAACCCCGGAAUUGCCUUUGAAACUGGAAAGCUAGAAUCUUGGAGAGGUCAGUGGAAUUCCGAGUGUAGAGGUGAAAUUCGUAGAUAUUCGGAAGAACACCAGUGGCGAAGGCGACUGACUGGACAAGUAUUGACGCUGAGGUGCGAAAGCGUGGGGAGCAAACAGGAUUAGAUACCCCGGUAGUCCCUGUCUCUUAUAC